This 260-nucleotide ribosomal RNA is filed under the name uncultured Diderma sp. RNAcentral's name for it is "partial 18S ribosomal RNA". It matches the Rfam family "Eukaryotic small subunit ribosomal RNA", at positions 28 to 241 of the family's 1831-position model. Lineage: Eukaryota; Evosea; Eumycetozoa; Physariida; Didymiaceae. The record is from RNAcentral.
AUGCUUCUCCUAAAGACUAAGCCAUGCAUGCCUUCGAAUACGAGGAAGCAAUUCUCUCUGAAUCUGCGAACGGCUCCGCAAACCAGUUGUAAACCAAAGCAAGCAUACUCGCGGUCUGCCCUUCACGGGGUGGGCUACGGGUGAUACGGAUAACCCUGGUAAUUCUGAGGCUAAUACGAGAUCGUACUCCCUGGCUGACCGGGCAACUGGAAGGCUGGGAGGUGUGUGAUUUAGCACGAGGAAUCUGCUGGGAAUAGACA